UACGUAGGGUGCGAGCGUUAAUCGGAAUUACUGGGCGUAAAGCGUGCGCAGGCGGUGAGCUGUGUCCGAUGUGAAAGCCCCGGGCUUAACCUGGGAAUGGCAUUGGAAACUGGCUCGCUGGAGUGUGGCAGAGGGGGGUGGAAUUCCGCGUGUAGCAGUGAAAUGCGUAGAGAUGCGGAGGAACACCGAUGGCGAAGGCAGCCCCCUGGGCUAACACUGACGCUCAGGCACGAAAGCAUGGGGAUCAAACAGG
RNAcentral lists this ribosomal RNA (253 nucleotides) under uncultured bacterium. Its description in RNAcentral is "partial 16S ribosomal RNA". It matches the Rfam family "Bacterial small subunit ribosomal RNA", at positions 524 to 776 of the family's 1533-position model. The record is from RNAcentral.